AUGCGGCGGUGGUGCUGCUCCUCCGCCGGCGGCCUCGCCCGCCGUUUCCUCUCCUCCCCCACCGUCGUCCAUGCCCGCCCGCCCGUGUCCUCCCUCCCCUUCCGCCGCGACCACUCCCACACCCACGCGCCUCUGCCCAUCAUGGGCUCGCUGUUCCACUCCGCGGCAGCCGCUGCGAUCGUCCGGCCUCCGGUGAUGGCGAUGCAGGUGCGCCACUACGCCAUCAAGGGCAGGUCCCGCGCGCCGACCACGCCCACCAUCUCCAAAGUCAAGAAAUACAAGAUGAAGGCCCCCUCCUCCAUGAAGUUCCGCUUCAGAACGAUGAAGGACGGCCAGAUCCGCAGGUGGAGGGCCGGCAAGCGCCACAACGCACACCAAAAGUCCAAGGAAGCAAAGAGAAGACUCCGGAAGCCUGCUUUAGUGCAUUUAGCUUAUGCCAAAGUUAUAAAGAAGCUCAACUUCUGCGGCUAG
RNAcentral lists this ribosomal RNA (471 nucleotides) under Triticum aestivum (bread wheat). RNAcentral describes it as "partial small subunit ribosomal RNA". The record is from RNAcentral. Lineage: Eukaryota; Viridiplantae; Streptophyta; Magnoliopsida; Poales; Poaceae.